Long non-coding RNA from Mercenaria mercenaria, 378 nucleotides. RefSeq lists it as uncharacterized. The transcript has 3 exons. The record is from RefSeq and is a predicted model, not a curated record. Lineage: Eukaryota; Metazoa; Mollusca; Bivalvia; Venerida; Veneridae.
AGGAUCUAUUCUGUUGAAUUAUCCUUCACGCCAAGUCCAGUUGGUCAACAACCAUUACCUGCUCCACUAAAGCUUACCUAUUCGAGUUUCAAUGACACCGCGAACGACACAAUAAUUAUGGUUAUUCACUGGAAUCCAGACCACCAACAAUGGCAGAUAACAAAUAACACCUGCAUGUUGGAAAAUGUAACAUUCGAAAAUGAGACAAUUGAUGGAUUAUCUUCAAUCUGGAUUUGCGAUACCCGUUUGUCAGCUGAUAUAAUGGCGGAAAAUCAAACAUACUUUUCGAAGGAAACUCAGUUUGCACUAGCGACAGUAUCAUCGAAAGUCAUUAACAACCCGCCAGUAUUUACAGAAACCUCAAUCACUAUAGAUGAA